This 82-nucleotide transfer RNA is filed under the name Bacteroidales bacterium. Its description in RNAcentral is "tRNA-Leu". It matches the Rfam family "tRNA". From Rfam's summary of the family: Transfer RNA (tRNA) molecules are approximately 80 nucleotides in length. Their secondary structure includes four short double-helical elements and three loops (D, anti-codon, and T loops). Lineage: Bacteria; Pseudomonadati; Bacteroidota; Bacteroidia; Bacteroidales. RNAcentral also lists the same sequence under 1 other name. The record is from RNAcentral.
GCCCAAAUGGCGGAAUUGGUAGACGCGCUCGUUUCAGGUGCGAGUGUUGAGAGACGUGCAGGUUCGAGUCCUGUUUUGGGCA